RNAcentral lists this ribosomal RNA (497 nucleotides) under uncultured bacterium. Its description in RNAcentral is "partial 16S ribosomal RNA". It matches the Rfam family "Bacterial small subunit ribosomal RNA", at positions 28 to 507 of the family's 1533-position model. The record is from RNAcentral.
GAUGAACGCUGGCGGCGUGCCUAAUACAUGCAAGUCGAGCGAACAGACGAGGAGUUUGCUCCUCUGACGUUAGCGGCGGACGGGUGAGUAACACGUGGAUAACCUACCUAUAAGACUGGGAUAACUUCGGGACUCCGGCGCUAAUACCGGAUAAUAUAUUGAACCGCAUGGUUCAAUAGUGAAAGACGGUUUUGCUGUCACUUAUAGAUGGUUCCGCGCCGCAUUAGCUAGUUGGUAAGGUAACGGCUUUCCAAGGCAACGCUGCGUAGCCGACCUGAGAGGGUGAUCGGCCACACUGGAACUGAGGCACGGUCCAGACUCCUACGGGAGGCAGCAGUAGGGAAUCUUCCGCAAUGGGCGAAAGCCUGACGGAGCAACGCCGCGUGAGUGAUGAAGGUCUUCGGAUCGUAAAACUCUGUUAUUAGGGAAGAACAAAUGUGUAAGUAACUAUGCACGUCUUGACGGUACCUAAUCAGAAAGCCACGGCUAACUACGUG